GAUGAACGCUGGCGGCGUGCCUAAUACAUGCAAGUCGAGCGAACGGACGAGAAGCUUGCUUUUCUGAUGUUAGCGGCGGACGGGUGAGUAACACGUGGAUAACCUACCUAUAAGACUGGGAUAACUUCGGGAAACCGGAGCUAAUACCGGAUAAUAUUUUGAACCGCAUGGUUCAAAAGUGAAAGACGGUCUUGCUGUCACUUAUAGAUGGAUCCGCGCUGCAUUAGCUAGUUGGUAAGGUAACGGCUUACCAAGGCAACGAUGCAUAGCCGACCUGAGAGGGUGAUCGGCCACACUGGAACUGAGACACGGUCCAGACUCCUACGGGAGGCAGCAGUAGGGAAUCUUCCGCAAUGGGCGAAAGCCUGACGGAGCAACGCCGCGUGAGUGAUGAAGGUCUUCGGAUCGUAAAACUCUGUUAUUAGGGAAGAACAUAUGUGUAAGUAACUGUGCACAUCUUGACGGUACCUAAUCAGAAAGCCACGGCUAACUACGUGCCAGCAGCCGCGGUAAUACGUAGGUGGCAAGCGUUAUCCGGAAUUAUUGGGCGUAAAGCGCGCGUAGGCGGUUUUUUAGUCUGAUGUGAAAGCCCACGGCUCAACCGUGGAGGGUCAUUGGAAACUGGAAAACUUGAGUGCAGAAGAGGAAAGUGGAAUUCCAUGUGUAGCGGUGAAAUGCGCAGAGAUAUGGAGGAACACCAGUGGCGAAGGCGACUUUCUGGUCUGUAACUGACGCUGAUGUGCGAAAGCGUGGGGAUCAAACAGGAUUAGAUACCCUGGUAGUCCACGCCGUAAACGAUGAGUGCUAAGUGUUAGGGGGUUUCCGCCCCUUAGUGCUGCAGCUAACGCAUUAAGCACUCCGCCUGGGGAGUACGACCGCAAGGUUGAAACUCAAAGGAAUUGACGGGGACCCGCACAAGCGGUGGAGCAUGUGGUUUAAUUCGAAGCAACGCGAAGAACCUUACCAAAUCUUGACAUCCUUUGACAACUCUAGAGAUAGAGCCUUCCCCUUCGGGGGACAAAGUGACAGGUGGUGCAUGGUUGUCGUCAGCUCGUGUCGUGAGAUGUUGGGUUAAGUCCCGCAACGAGCGCAACCCUUAAGCUUAGUUGCCAUCAUUAAGUUGGGCACUCUAAGUUGACUGCCGGUGACAAACCGGAGGAAGGUGGGGAUGACGUCAAAUCAUCAUGCCCCUUAUGAUUUGGGCUACACACGUGCUACAAUGGGCAAUACAAAGGGCAGCGAAACCGCGAGGUCAAGCAAAUCCCAUAAAGUUGUUCUCAGUUCGGAUUGUAGUCUGCAACUCGACUACAUGAAGCUGGAAUCGCUAGUAAUCGUAGAUCAGCAUGCUACGGUGAAUACGUUCCCGGGUCU
This 1371-nucleotide ribosomal RNA is filed under the name uncultured bacterium. RNAcentral describes it as "bacterial SSU rRNA". It matches the Rfam family "Bacterial small subunit ribosomal RNA", at positions 28 to 1381 of the family's 1533-position model. The record is from RNAcentral.